This 342-nucleotide unclassified non-coding RNA is filed under the name fungal sp. RNAcentral's name for it is "partial internal transcribed spacer region". The stretch from base 1 to 46 matches the Rfam family "Eukaryotic small subunit ribosomal RNA", at positions 1786 to 1831 of the family's 1831-position model. The record is from RNAcentral. Lineage: Eukaryota; Fungi.
AAGUCGUAACAAGGUUUCCGUAGGUGAACCUGCGGAAGGAUCAUUAAUGAAAUAAUUAAGAUGGGUUAGGUUGCUGCUGGCUCCCUUGGGGGGGCAUGUGCACGCCUUCCAUUGAUUUUUCACACCCAUGUGCACCAUCUGUAGGCUUAAAGACAUCGCUCGGGGGCUUAAUCCUCCCGGAUUUUGAGGACUGCUGUGCGUCAAAGUCAGCUGUUCUUUUUAUGUUCCUUAAGUCUAUGUUUUUGUUAUACACUCCAUAUGUAUGUAACCGAAUGUAGUUGAAAAGGCCUAUUGUGCCUUUAAAAGUUAAUACAACUUUCAACAAUGGAUCUCUUGGCUCUC